GCGGAUGUGGUGAAAUUGGUAGACACGCUAGACUUAGAAUCUAGUGGCGUGAGUCGUGGGGGUUCAAGUCCCUCCAUCCGCACCA
Molecule: transfer RNA, 85 nt
Filed under: Commensalibacter intestini
Lineage: Bacteria; Pseudomonadati; Pseudomonadota; Alphaproteobacteria; Acetobacterales; Acetobacteraceae
Also listed under: 4 other names
Description: tRNA-Leu
Rfam family: tRNA
About the family: Transfer RNA (tRNA) molecules are approximately 80 nucleotides in length. Their secondary structure includes four short double-helical elements and three loops (D, anti-codon, and T loops).
Source: RNAcentral